AUGUUUCGGUUGCUGGGGUUGACGGUUUUCGUCCAUCAUGUGAGUUCGGUGACGAUCGAGCAAGUUCCCAGCUCAUUCUCCGCAUCGCCCGGGGACAGAGUGGAGUUCGGUUGCACCGUGACGGACAGCGCCGAUGAUAAUAUGUAUUGGUACCAGCAGCGCCCGGGAGAGAAACCUCGGUUCCUGUUUUAUUCCAUGACCAAGGAUCACGUAGAUCCGGCUAAAACGGUGGACGGUUUCACUGCGGAACGGCCUAACGGCAACCAGUUCAAACUGAAGACAUCCGACCUGCGAGCGAACCACUCGGCCAUGUAUUACUGCGCCUGGCGUCUGCACAGCGACUCAGACGGACGGAGGAGCUCGACAUAA
This is a non-coding RNA of Pristis pectinata (smalltooth sawfish), 369 nucleotides long. Lineage: Eukaryota; Metazoa; Chordata; Chondrichthyes; Rhinopristiformes; Pristidae. The record is from the annotation of a RefSeq genome assembly.